CAGGCGCGAAACCUUUACACUGCACGCCAGUGCGAUAAGGGAAUCCCAAGUGCGUAGGCAUAGAGCCUACGCUUUUGUCCACCGUAGGGAGGUGGACGAAUAAGGGCUGGGCAAGACCGGUGCCAGCCGCCGCGGUAAUACCGGCAGCCCGAGUGAUGGCCGAUCUUAUUGGGCCUAAAGCGUCCGUAGCUGGCCGCACAAGUCCAUCGGAAAAUCCACCCGCUCAACGGGUGGGCGUCCGGUGGAAACUGUGUGGCUUGGGACCGGAAGGCGCGACGGGUACGUCCGGGGUAGGAGUGAAAUCCCGUAAUCCUGGACGGACCGCCGAUGGCGAAAGCACGUCGCGAGGACGGAUCCGACAGUGAGGGACGAAAGCUAGGGUCUCGAACCGGAUUAGAUACCCGGGUAGUCCUAGCCGUAAACAAUGUCUGUUAGGUGUGGCUCCCACUACGAGUGGGUGCUGUGCCGUAGGGAAGCCGCUAAACAGACCGCCUGGGAAGUACGUCCGCAAGGAUGAAACUUAAAGGAAUUGGCGGGGGAGCACAA
Molecule: ribosomal RNA, 546 nt
Filed under: Halorubrum sp. A29(2010)
Lineage: Archaea; Methanobacteriati; Methanobacteriota; Halobacteria; Halobacteriales; Haloferacaceae
Description: bacterial SSU rRNA
Rfam family: Archaeal small subunit ribosomal RNA
Source: RNAcentral